Molecule: ribosomal RNA, 1347 nt
Filed under: uncultured bacterium
Lineage: Bacteria
Description: bacterial SSU rRNA
Rfam family: Bacterial small subunit ribosomal RNA
Source: RNAcentral
GACGAACGCUGGCGGCGUGCUUAACACAUGCAAGUCGAACGGAAAGGCCCUGCUUUUGUGGGGUGCUCGAGUGGCGAACGGGUGAGUAACACGUGAGUAACCUGCCCUUGACUUUGGGAUAACUUCAGGAAACUGGGGCUAAUACCGGAUAGGAGCUCCUGCUGCAUGGUGGGGGUUGGAAAGUUUCGGCGGUUGGGGAUGGACUCGCGGCUUAUCAGCUUGUUGGUAGGGUAGUGGCUUACCAAGGCUUUGACGGGUAGCCGGCCUGAGAGGGUGACCGGCCACAUUGGGACUGAGAUACGGCCCAGACUCCUACGGGAGGCAGCAGUGGGGAAUAUUGCACAAUGGGCGGAAGCCUGAUGCAGCAACGCCGCGUGCGGGAUGACGGCCUUCGGGUUGUAAACCGCUUUCGCCUGUGACGAAGCGUGAGUGACGGUAAUGGGUAAAGAAGCACCGGCUAACUACGUGCCAGCAGCCGCGGUGAUACGUAGGGUGCGAGCGUUGUCCGGAUUUAUUGGGCGUAAAGGGCUCGUAGGUGGUUGAUCGCGUCGGAAGUGUAAUCUUGGGGCUUAACCCUGAGCGUGCUUUCGAUACGGGUUGACUUGAGGAAGGUAGGGGAGAAUGGAAUUCCUGGUGGAGCGGUGGAAUGCGCAAAUAUCAGGAGGAACACCAGUGGCGAAGGCGGUUCUCUGGGCCUUUCCUGACGCUGAGGAGCGAAAGCGUGGGGAGCGAACAGGCUUAGAUACCCUGGUAGUCCACGCUGUAAACGGUGGGUACUAGGUGUGGGGUCCAUUCCACGGGUUCCGUGCCGUAGCUAACGCUUUAAGUACCCCGCCUGGGGAGUACGGCCGCAAGGCUAAAACUCAAAGGAAUUGACGGGGCCCCGCACAAGCGGCGGAGCAUGCGGAUUAAUUCGAUGCAACGCGUAGAACCUUACCUGGGUUUGACAUGGAUCGGGAGUGCUCAGAGAUGGGUAUGCCUCUUUUGGGGUCGGUUCACAGGUGGUGCAUGGCUGUCGUCAGCUCGUGUCGUGAGAUGUUGGGUUAAGUCCCCGCAACGAGCGCAACCCUUGUUCACUGUUGCCAGCACGUUAUGGUGGGGACUCAGUGGAGACCGCCGGGGUCAACUCGGAGGAAGGUGGGGAUGACGUCAAGUCAUCAUGCCCCUUAUGUCCAGGGCUUCACGCAUGCUACAAUGGCUGGUACAGAGAGUGGCGAGCCUGUGAGGGUGAGCGAAUCUCGGAAAGCCGGUCUCAGUUCGGAUUGGGGUCUGCAACUCGACCUCAUGAAGUCGGAGUCGCUAGUAAUCGCAGAUCAGCAACGCUGCGGUGAAUACGUUCCCGGGGCU